AUUGAACGCUGGCGGCAGGCCUAACACAUGCAAGUCGAACGGUAACAGGAAACAGCUUGCUGUUUCGCUGACGAGUGGCGGACGGGUGAGUAAUGUCUGGGAAACUGCCUGAUGGAGGGGGAUAACUACUGGAAACGGUAGCUAAUACCGCAUAACGUCGCAAGACCAAAGAGGGGGACCUUCGGGCCUCUUGCCAUCGGCUGUGCCCAGAUGGCAUUAGCUAGUAGGUGGGGUAACGGCUCACCUAGGCGACGAUCCCUAGCUGGUCUGAGAGGAUGACCAGCCACACUGGAACUGAGACACGGUCCAGACUCCUACGAGAGGCAGCAGUGGGGAAUAUUGCACAAUGGGCGCAAGCCUGAUGCAGCCAUGCCGCGUGUAUGAAGAAGGCCUUCGGGUUGUAAAGUACUUUCAGCGGGGAGGAAGGGAGUAAAGUUAAUACCUUUACUCAUUGACGUUACCCGCAGAAGAAGCACCGGCUAACUCCGUG
Molecule: ribosomal RNA, 490 nt
Filed under: uncultured bacterium
Lineage: Bacteria
Description: partial 16S ribosomal RNA
Rfam family: Bacterial small subunit ribosomal RNA
Source: RNAcentral